UGUCAAAAUCCUGAGGAAAGUUGUUGGCAAAUGGAAUUUUUCUCCCUAAUCCCUAAUCAGCUCCCUGCCAAAUAAACAACCUCGCCGCCAACUUUUGGUAUUUUUGGAGUGCAAGGAAAGUAAGAAAACUGGUGAUAAUAAACGACACCGUUUGGUUCACUCCCACCAACUCCCUUGAACUGCUUGUGCCCAUAUUCAAUAUUAUAUGUAAUUAUAUUCAACUUUUCCCUACAUAUACCUAUCAAAGUUUCAGAUUCUUUUGCCCCUCAGGAACAGAAGAGUGUUCUCCUCUGCUAAAAAAGGAACAAUAUUUUUCUGUGUUUCUCUUCUUCAGUCUCAGCCACCAUGGCAACAAAACUCACCUCAUCACCAAACUCUCUCCUCCUCCAAAAUCCUUAUCGCCACAACCUCCUUAAACCCAAUUCCUCCGCCACCUCCUUCUCUAAUAUCGCCACCCAAAAUAAGCCCAUUUCAAUCAGAUGUGCAGCCACAUCAACAGCUGCAGUCUCGCCAAUCCCCGCAAAUCAAGAUCCAGAAGACCGUGUCUUCAAUUUCGCCGCCGGGCCAGCCACCUUACCUGCUAACGUCCUCAAGAAGGCCCAGGCGGAGCUCUACAACUGGCGUGGAUCUGGAAUGAGCGUAAUGGAGAUGAGCCAUAGAGGGAAAGAAUUUCUCUCUAUUAUUCAAAAGGCUGAGGCUGAUCUCCGUUCUCUUUUGAAUAUCCCCGAAGAUUACGCCGUUCUGUUUCUUCAGGGCGGCGGAACCACCCAGUUCGCCAUGAUCCCGUUGAACCUGUGCAAGCCCGAUGACCCGGUUGAUUAUGUGGUUACUGGAUCUUGGGGCGAUAAGGCUUUCAAGGAGGCACAGAAGUUUUGCAAGCCCAAGGUGAUUUGGUCUGGGAAAUCUGAGAAGUAUACAAAAAUCUCACCUUAUGAAAGUUUAGAGCAAAGCCCAGAUGCCAAAUAUUUGCAUAUUUGCGCUAACGAGACCAUUCAUGGAGUGGAGUUCAAGGAUUACCCAACUCCCAAAAAUGGGAUUUUGGUGGCUGACAUGUCUUCAAAUUUCUGUUCAAAGCCUGUAGAUGUUUCCAAGUUUGGUUUGAUCUAUGCUGGAGCUCAGAAGAAUGUAGGGCCCUCUGGGGUUACAAUUGUGAUAAUCAAGAAAGACCUGAUUGGAAAUGCUCAGGAGAUCACUCCUGUGAUGCUGGACUACAAGAUCCAUGCGGAGAACGAUUCACUCUAUAACACUCCUCCUUGUUUUGGCAUAUACAUGUGUGGUUUGGUCUUUGAGGAUCUUUUGGCACAGGGUGGAUUAACGGAGGUCCAAAAGAAGAACAAGAAGAAAGCAGAAUUGAUAUACAAAGCUAUUGAUGAGAGCAAUGGGUUCUACAGGUGCCCAGUUGAAAAAUCUGUAAGGUCAUUGAUGAAUGUGCCUUUUACACUUGAGAAGUCUGAUUUGGAAGCUGAGUUUAUCAAAGAAGCUGCUAAGGAGAAGAUGGUUCAGCUUAAAGGGCAUAGGUCAGUGGGAGGAAUGCGAGCUAGCAUUUACAAUGCAAUGCCACUGGCUGGAGUGGAAAAGUUGGUAGCUUUCAUGAAAGAUUUCCAGGCAAGGCAUGCUUGAAUCAGUGAUUGAUGUGAGUGUGCAAUUCCCCUUUUUAAUGGGGCUAUAAACGCCUCUUAUGAAUUAGAGAUAUGUAACGUUUUUGGAUUUUCUGUUGCUUCUGUUCAGUUUCAUCUCAAUGGAUUGUUAAAAUUGGUAUCUUUAGUUGAUUGCAUUCUUGAGCAAUAUGCUCAUACAAUUAAUUGUGGGAUGGCACUCUGCAUUACCUUGAGAAUGACACUGCUACUGCUAUUACUAGCUAACUGGCUAAAGAAUCUGAAAAAGGUGGCCGCCAGAUUUCUUGUGAAUGGUUAUUCAUGAAUAAAUUGGUUUACAUGGGUCGGUCUCGGCACUUUGUAACUGGUUUUCCUUGUAAUUGCGGUGUGCGAGUAAGGAUGAACGCUGUUCUUCUGAAAAAAUU
Molecule: unclassified non-coding RNA, 2020 nt
Filed under: Hevea brasiliensis (rubber tree)
Lineage: Eukaryota; Viridiplantae; Streptophyta; Magnoliopsida; Malpighiales; Euphorbiaceae
Source: RNAcentral